This 377-nucleotide ribosomal RNA is filed under the name uncultured Caulobacteraceae bacterium. Its description in RNAcentral is "partial 16S ribosomal RNA". It matches the Rfam family "Bacterial small subunit ribosomal RNA", at positions 338 to 732 of the family's 1533-position model. Lineage: Bacteria; Pseudomonadati; Pseudomonadota; Alphaproteobacteria; Caulobacterales; Caulobacteraceae. The record is from RNAcentral.
CCUACGGGAGGCAGCAGUGGGGAAUCUUGCGCAAUGGGCGAAAGCCUGACGCAGCCAUGCCGCGUGAAUGAUGAAGGUCUUAGGAUUGUAAAAUUCUUUCACCGGGGACGAUAAUGACGGUACCCGGAGAAGAAGCCCCGGCUAACUUCGUGCCAGCAGCCGCGGUAAUACGAAGGGGGCUAGCGUUGCUCGGAAUUACUGGGCGUAAAGGGCGCGUAGGCGGAUCGUUAAGUCAGAGGUGAAAUCCCAGGGCUCAACCCUGGAACUGCCUUUGAUACUGGCGAUCUUGAGUAUGAGAGAGGUAUGUGAAACUCCGAGUGUAGAGGUGAAAUUCGUAGAUAUUCGGAAGAACACCAGUGGCGAAGGCGACAUACUGG